AAAGGGAGACCUAAUUCAGGUAGGAGACGAAAAAAAAGUAGUCCCUACCAAGAAUCAAUCCCAAAAGGUCGGAGCGAGGCAAAAUUGGCUUUCAAACUAGGUUCUGGGUUCACACAAGACCUGAAUCAGGAACAAGGGCUAUUAGCUCAGGUGGUUAGAGCGCACCCCUGAUAAGGGUGAGGUCCCUGGUUCGAGUCCAGGAUGGCCCACCUGUACAGGUGGCAAAAAGAAAGAAAAGAAGCGAGGAAUCAGCACCUUAUCUUACUUAUAUAGUAAGAGAGAAUGCUGGCUCUGAGUUCAGAGUCCAGAGGAACCUUGAAAACUGCAUAGAGCUAGGUGAGAAAGCCAAAAAAGAAGACCGCAAG
RNAcentral lists this transfer RNA (365 nucleotides) under uncultured Microcystis sp. Its description in RNAcentral is "partial 16S-23S ribosomal RNA intergenic spacer". The stretch from base 136 to 209 matches the Rfam family "tRNA". Lineage: Bacteria; Bacillati; Cyanobacteriota; Cyanophyceae; Chroococcales; Microcystaceae. The record is from RNAcentral.